Molecule: ribosomal RNA, 253 nt
Filed under: uncultured bacterium
Lineage: Bacteria
Description: partial 16S ribosomal RNA
Rfam family: Bacterial small subunit ribosomal RNA
Source: RNAcentral
UACGGGGGGGGCAAGCGUUGUUCGGAAUUAUUGGGCGUAAAGGGUGCGUAGGCGGUUUGGUAAGUCUGAUGUGAAAUCUAUGGGCUCAACUCAUAGUCUGCAUCGGAAACUGCCGGGCUUGAGUGUGGGAGAGGUGAGUGGAAUUCCUGGUGUAGCGGUGAAAUGCGUAGAUAUCAGGAGGAACACCUGUGGCGAAGGCGGCUUCCUGGCCUGUUCUUGACGCUGAGGCGCGAAAGCUAGGGGAGCAAACGGG